This 273-nucleotide ribosomal RNA is filed under the name uncultured bacterium. Its description in RNAcentral is "partial 16S ribosomal RNA". It matches the Rfam family "Bacterial small subunit ribosomal RNA", at positions 524 to 796 of the family's 1533-position model. The record is from RNAcentral.
UACGGGGGGGGCAAGCGUUGUUCGGAAUUACUGGGCGUAAAGGGCGCGUAGGCGGUUUGCUAAGUUGGAUGUGAAAACUCUGGGCUCAACCCAGAGCCUGCAUCCAAAACUGGCAGGCUAGAGUUCUGGAGGGGAAAGCGGAAUUCCUGGUGUAGCGGUGAAAUGCGUAGAUAUCAGGAGGAACACCGGUGGCGAAGGCGGCUUUCUGGACAGAAACUGACGCUGAGGCGCGAAAGCUAGGGGAGCAAACAGGAUUAGAAACCCCCGUAGUCC